This 459-nucleotide ribosomal RNA is filed under the name uncultured bacterium. RNAcentral describes it as "partial 16S ribosomal RNA". It matches the Rfam family "Bacterial small subunit ribosomal RNA", at positions 338 to 795 of the family's 1533-position model. The record is from RNAcentral.
CCUACGGGUGGCUGCAGUGAGGAAUAUUGGUCAAUGGACGAAAGGCUGAACCAGCCAAGUCGCGUGAGGGAUGACUGCCCUAUGGGUUGUAAACCUCUUUUAUAAGGGAAUAAUAAAUAGUACGUAUACCAUUAUGUCUGUACCUUAUGAAUAAGCAUCGGCUAACUCCGUGCCAGCAGCCGCGGUAAUACGGAGGAUGCGAGCGUUAUCCGGAUUUAUUGGGUUUAAAGGGAGCGUAGGCGGCGGUUUAAGUUAGUGGUGAAAGGUUGGGGCUUAACCUUGAAUUGCCAUUGAUACUGUAAGUCUUGAGUUCAGACGAGGUAGGCGGAAUAAGUGGAGUAGCGGUGAAAUGCUUAGAUAUAACGUAGAACUCCGAUAGCGAAGGCAGCUUACCGGACUGCGACUGACGCUGAUGCACGAGAGUGUGGGUAGCGAACAGGAUUAGAUACCCUAGUAGUC